RNAcentral lists this long non-coding RNA (431 nucleotides) under Cyanistes caeruleus (blue tit). Its description in RNAcentral is "lncRNA (ENSCCEG00000010241.1)". Lineage: Eukaryota; Metazoa; Chordata; Aves; Passeriformes; Paridae. The record is from RNAcentral.
UGAGAUACGGACAACAUUCCUCCGUGAAUAGGAGGCCAAGCUCUUUUUUUCCUAUCUAGUGGAAGAGAUUGCAGAACUUCUUUGGAAUAUCCUUCGGUGAUAUUGGAGUCUUAACACCAGAUGCCAGAAGACACAAAUGCUUCUGCUUCAUUUAACACAUAUCUGAAAUGGCACAACCAGGCACAAAAGCUAACAAAGACCUAGAAGCUUAGCCUGCUAGAGAUCCCUCAAAGUUUUUCUAAGGGAAAGACGCAUUUCUUUGUAGCGAAUUUGAGUCCACUAACAAGAGGCAUUCCUGAUCUCAAAGAAUUCAGGCCAACUGGCUUUAGUUGCUGGCAGAUAGAAAGUGAGAACAAAAACGAGGUGUUAAAAAAGUGCCAGGAAAAUCUCCAAGCAGUCCUCAGUGUGAAGAGAUCCAGCUUGUCAGCCAC